AACGUAGGAGACAAACGUUAUCCGGAGUUACUGGGCGUAAAGGGCGUGUAGGUGGUUUCGUAAGUCUGGCGUGAAAUUUUUCGGCUUAACCGGGAAAGGUCGUCGGAUACUGCGGGACUAGAGGACGGUAGAGGCGUGUGGAAUUCCGGGUGUAGUGGUGAAAUGCGUAGAGAUCCGGAGGAACACCAGUGGCGAAGGCGGUGCUCUGGGCCGGAACUGACGCUGAGGAGCGAAAGCGUGGGGAGCAAACAGG
This 253-nucleotide ribosomal RNA is filed under the name uncultured bacterium. RNAcentral describes it as "partial 16S ribosomal RNA". It matches the Rfam family "Bacterial small subunit ribosomal RNA", at positions 524 to 776 of the family's 1533-position model. The record is from RNAcentral.